Molecule: ribosomal RNA, 601 nt
Filed under: uncultured bacterium
Lineage: Bacteria
Description: bacterial SSU rRNA
Rfam family: Bacterial small subunit ribosomal RNA (bases 1-520)
Source: RNAcentral
CCUACGGGAGGCAGCAGUGGGGAAUAUUGGGCAAUGGAGGAAACUCUGACCCAGCGACGCCGCGUGCGGGAUGAAGGCCUUCGGGUUGUAAACCGCUUUCAGCAGGGAAGAAGCGAAAGUGACGGUACCUGCAGAAGAAGCACCGGCUAACUAUGUGCCAGCAGCCGCGGUAAUACAUAGGGUGCAAGCGUUGUCCGGAAUUAUUGGGCGUAAAGAGCUCGUAGGUGGUUCGUCACGUCGGAUGUGAAAAUCUGGGGCUUAACCCCAGACCUGCAUUUCGAUACGGGCGAGCUUGAGUAUGGUAGGGGAGUCUGGAAUUCCUGGUGUAGCGGUGGAAUGCGCAGAUAUCAGGAGGAACACCAAUGGCGAAGGCAGGACUCUGGGCCAUUACUGACACUGAGGAGCGAAAGCGUGGGGAGCGAACAGGAUUAGAUACCCUGGUAGUCCACGCCGUAAACGGUGGGCACUAGUUGUGGGGACCUUCCACGGUCUCUGCGACGCNGCUACGCAUAGUGCCGCCGUGGAGUACGAGUCGCGAGAGUAAACGUACGUAAGUUAAGUUAGUAGNGUUGAGACGNGCGAGGACGACGACGAGGAGAGG